This 301-nucleotide ribosomal RNA is filed under the name uncultured bacterium. Its description in RNAcentral is "partial 16S ribosomal RNA". It matches the Rfam family "Bacterial small subunit ribosomal RNA", at positions 509 to 808 of the family's 1533-position model. The record is from RNAcentral.
CAGUCGCCGCGGUAAUACGAAGGGGGCUAGCGUUGUUCGGAUUUACUGGGCGUAAAGCGCACGUAGGCGGAUCGAUCAGUCAGGGGUGAAAUCCCAGAGCUCAACUCUGGAACUGCCUUUGAUACUGUCGAUCUGGAGUAUGGAAGAGGUGGGUGGAAUUCCGAGUGUAGAGGUGAAAUUCGUAGAUAUUCGGAGGAACACCAGUGGCGAAGGCGGCUCACUGGUCCAUUACUGACGCUGAGGUGCGAAAGCGUGGGGAGCAAACAGGAUUAGAUACCCCUGUAGUCCCGUCUCUUAUACC